GUCUAGGGACGUAUCACCCAGAGUGCACCCAAUCUCCUCUGAUCUUGGUAGCUAAAGGUUGGGCGUAGUUAGAGCAUUUCUCUUUAAAUA
RNAcentral lists this ribosomal RNA (90 nucleotides) under Erinaceus europaeus (western European hedgehog). The record is from RNAcentral. Lineage: Eukaryota; Metazoa; Chordata; Mammalia; Eulipotyphla; Erinaceidae.